RNAcentral lists this ribosomal RNA (254 nucleotides) under uncultured bacterium. Its description in RNAcentral is "partial 16S ribosomal RNA". It matches the Rfam family "Bacterial small subunit ribosomal RNA", at positions 524 to 777 of the family's 1533-position model. The record is from RNAcentral.
UACGGGGGAGGUAAGCGUUGUUCGGAAUUACUGGGCGUAAAGCGCACGUAGGCGGAUAUUUAAGUCAGGGGUGAAAUCCCAGAGCUCAACUCUGGAACUGCCUUUGAUACUGGGUAUCUUGAGUAUGGAAGAGGUAAGUGGAAUUGCGAGUGUAGAGGUGAAAUUCGUAGAUAUUCGCAGGAACACCAGUGGCGAAGGCGGCUUACUGGUCCAUAACUGACGCUGAGGUGCGAAAGCGUGGGGAGCAAACAGGG